GUGACAGCCCUGUAGACUGAAGUCUUCUAUUUAUCAACAGAACAGGCAACAGCAAGGGCAGCUGCAGUAUAAGCGUACCCUGUGGUUGUCCCACCAAAGUGCGUCAACCCUGACCUAAGGGGACUCACUUCCAGGGGUGAGAAGGUAGUUCAGUCUCAAUGCCCCGUCAGUCCUGGGCCUCU
This 182-nucleotide small RNA is filed under the name Chrysemys picta bellii (western painted turtle). Its description in RNAcentral is "TUC338 (ENSCPBG00000027073.1)". Lineage: Eukaryota; Metazoa; Chordata; Testudines; Emydidae. The record is from RNAcentral.